RNAcentral lists this transfer RNA (69 nucleotides) under Triticum aestivum (bread wheat). Its description in RNAcentral is "tRNA_LysCTT". It matches the Rfam family "tRNA". From Rfam's summary of the family: Transfer RNA (tRNA) molecules are approximately 80 nucleotides in length. The record is from RNAcentral. Lineage: Eukaryota; Viridiplantae; Streptophyta; Magnoliopsida; Poales; Poaceae.
ACCAUUGCUCAGUUGGUAGAGCACAAGGCUCUUAACCUUGUGGACGUGGGUUCAAGCCCUAUGGUGGGA